Molecule: unclassified non-coding RNA, 387 nt
Filed under: uncultured fungus
Lineage: Eukaryota; Fungi
Description: partial contains 5.8S ribosomal RNA and internal transcribed spacer 2
Rfam family: 5.8S ribosomal RNA (bases 1-133)
Source: RNAcentral
UGGCUCUCGCAUCGAUGAAGAACGCAGCGAAAUGCGAUAAGUAAUGUGAAUUGCAGAAUUCAGUGAAUCAUCGAAUCUUUGAACGCACCUUGCGCUCCUUGGUAUUCCGAGGAGCAUGCCUGUUUGAGUGUCUCGAAUUCAUCAACCCUCCCGUCUUUGCUGACGGGCCAGGGCUGGACGUGGGGGCAUGCGACCGCGAGGCCGCUCCCCUCAAAUGCGUCGGUUGGACCUGUGGGUCGGACUCGACCGGGCGUUGUACCAUCCUCGCUCCGAAGAGAAGUUCCCCGUCUUAGCGUCCCUCCCCGACCUGCCGUCGUGCGGCGGUCAAAAUGAAAGGCGCGAGCCUUUUCGAAAUCUGACCUCAAAUCAGGUAGGACUACCCGCUGA